Equus caballus (horse) is the source of this 1590-nucleotide long non-coding RNA. The record is from Ensembl. Lineage: Eukaryota; Metazoa; Chordata; Mammalia; Perissodactyla; Equidae.
GCAAUUACUAUUCAUUUAUAUGGGAAAAAUUUCUGAGCAUUCCCAGACCUGAAAAACAACCUACCAAAUCAUAUCAAAUAACACAUAAAACCUAAAAUAACACCAGUAUACAGUAAAAGCAGGAAUGAUAUUAUAAAUACACAGCCUAUAUAAAGUAGAAAUAAUGUCUGUACAGUGUAGUGUCACUUACCAGAAUCGGGAAGCCAGCGAGCACACUGGAAGGCUGAGUGGUGGCAGUGGUGGUGAUGGGGUGUUGGGCUCAGCCAUCAGAGGUUGGGGUGGUGGAAGGUACAGGAGAUGGGGUGUAGGAGAGAGAGGAAGAGAGUCAUCUAUCAACACCUCAUUGUCGUCUGAAUCCAUCAGGGCAGGCAGGUCACUGACAUCUACACCUUUUAUGUCUGCCUGCCUCCAUGUCCAAGGUCAAGGUUCAUCAUCUGCUGUGGUUGAUGUGGCUGAUGCAAAAGCUUGAAAUAUGACGGUAUGCUUGACUGCUUAACCUUAUAACGCUUUGAUACAAAACAAACGCUGAACGCUAUUUUCGCUUUUCUCCUUUUUCUGUAAAAGCAAAAAUCCUCUUCGAAUUUCUUUCAUUUAGCAAAAACAGGCACUAAUGUAGGUCUCUAGUAAAAGCAAAGUGGCGUAAAGUGAACUUUCAGACAGCAGGGGAAACCUGUAUUUAACUACCUUCUCUCAGCCCCUACAUCCCACACAUUCUCCUCCAUAAAAUCAGCUAGAAUUCUCCGCGUGGGAAGGAAGGGAGAUGGGGAGGAAGAGAGACUCGCACCUGAGAAGCCAUAUCAGAAUAUCAAUAGCACGUGUGGCAGUUUCCCAUCAUGUGAUUCUGAUCAAGCAUCCCCGCCACGGGUUGACUCCCAGCCUCCUGCUGAGAGUGUCCCUGUCACAGAGGUUUAUUCCAGUGGAGGAUUUGGACAUUCAGAGAUUUAGCUGAAAUGCAUGUGAAUAGAUUACUACUAAGAGAUUUACCUUGAAAUAUUUUGAGAGUAACUCUCCUGAGAUGCUGAAAACACUUCAACCUCGACAUUUCGGUAAAAAGAGCCUCUAGGUCCAUUGGUUCAACAUCAGGUUCUGCUGCUAUGAUCGACUUGCUGGCUCAACUCUGCAUUAUUGCCACUCUGGGACCCUGAGCUUCACAGACUCCUUCCUGAUCGCUGAGCAAUCUCACAGAUGUGGCCCAGCGUCCAAGAUGACAUUUGGACUGCUGAAGCUGACGAGGACAAAAAGAGAAACGAGGGUGGGGAAGAGAGAGAGAGAAGAAAUAUGAAGUCAGGGCUUCCGAAAUCCCACAAGCUCGUCUAUCCUUUUAAAUCCAAAAGUGAAGGAUUAUGGUUCAAGUGACUUCAAGUUGGAAUUAAAUGGUUCGAAGAAAUACGACCAUUUCAGAAAAAAACAUACUUUUUCUGAAAAGAAAAGAAGAAAUUUUUAAAUGUGUAUUUUUUUAUACAUAGUAGCCAUAAUAUUUCCUGUGAUCAGAGGAGUAUGACAUAAAGCUCAACAGCACCGUGAAAAACAAAGUCAUUCCUCAGAAAUGAGGUGUAAUAUCUUUUAUUGGAUAAAUAAGAACUAUUAGAA